UGCUUACUUCCUGGAAUUACUUGCAUACAUAUACAGUAUAGUAAUUCCAGGGAGUAAGCAUUCUCUGGAAAGUACAUUAUUCUGUGUUUAACAGGAAUAAUAUAUAUAUUAUUCUUGUUAACACAGAGAAUGAUGCGCUUUCCAGAGAAUGCUUACUCCCUGGAAUUAUUUGAUAAGUAUUCACAUUCAAAAUGUGAGGAGAAAAUACUACUGCCCAAAAUAAUCAACUCUUUAUUUUCUGUCAGUCCAAAACAAUUACUCCCUUCAGGGGGUACACUUUGGUUUGAGAAUGAAGGCCAAUGAAAAUGCCUGAUGACUUAAUUUCAGGUGAGUUUGAAAUUAAAAAAAGAACUACGGGCAAAAUGCAUGCAUUCCAAUGGCUUUUAGCUAUUAAGGCACUACAUUUGUACACUCCGUCUUCUGUGAGGAGAAGAUGAGGGGACCUUUUAUUUCCCUCUUUCCUCGGUUUUCAGUCCUCACAACCGUCCUCGGAGGCAGGCCCAAAGACACUCGUCCAGUUUCACGACCAGUCUUGGGAGGCGGCGCGAAACGAAGCCACCAUUUGAGGGUCGUGACUGAGGGAGGAUUUGAACCCGAGACCCGGCCAAGGCCAGGGGCGGAGGCGACAGGUUUAGCCCAGCUGAGAGGGUUAGAAGGCCGUCUGCCUGCCUCUCUGGCUCCUCAGCGGAGAGUCCCCCGUCUCGGCGGAAAGGGGAAGCGGGCGCUCGACGCCACCGGGCAGGCAAAGCAAAGAAGCGAGCGCUCAGGAACGGGCGCCCCUUCCGGCACCGCCCGCCUGCCCCGUCGGUUGCGGCGCCGGCGGCAGCAGCAGCAGCAGCAGCUCGGUCUUCCCCUCAGAGGCGACCAUGGUGGAGCUGAACCGAGCCUUCCCGCGCACCCUGAGGGGAGCCUUAAAGAUAGCGCGCAUGGUCUUUGCUUUCAUGGCAGCCAUCACUUUCGGAGUUGGAGGAAUCCAUGA
This 979-nucleotide long non-coding RNA is filed under the name Pogona vitticeps (central bearded dragon). RNAcentral's name for it is "lncRNA (ENSPVIG00000001196.1)". Lineage: Eukaryota; Metazoa; Chordata; Lepidosauria; Squamata; Agamidae. The record is from RNAcentral.